GGUUGUCGUCAGCUCGUGUCGUGAGAUGUUGGGUUAAGUCCCGCAACGAGCGCAACCCUUGAUCUUAGUUGCCAGCACUUCGGGUGGGCACUCUAAGGUGACUGCCGGUGACAAACCGGAGGAAGGUGGGGAUGACGUCAAAUCAUCAUGCCCCUUAUGACCUGGGCUACACACGUACUACAAUGGCCGGUACAACGGGCAGUGAAACCGCGAGGUGGAACGAAUCCUAAAAAGCCGGUCUCAGUUCGGAUUGCAGGCUGCAACUCGCCUGCAUGAAGUCGGAAUUGCUAGUAAUCGCGGAUCAGCAUGCCGCGGUGAAUACGUUCCCGGGUCUUGUACACACCGCCCGUCACACCACGAGAGUUUAUAACACCCGAAGUCGGUGGGGUAACCGCAAGGAGCCAGCCGCCGAAGGUGGGAUAGAUGAUUGGGGUGAAGUCGUAACAAGGUAGCCGUAUCGGAAGGUGCGGCUGGAUCACCUCCUUU
This 486-nucleotide ribosomal RNA is filed under the name Paenibacillus vandeheii. RNAcentral's name for it is "bacterial SSU rRNA". It matches the Rfam family "Bacterial small subunit ribosomal RNA", at positions 1047 to 1533 of the family's 1533-position model. The record is from RNAcentral. Lineage: Bacteria; Bacillati; Bacillota; Bacilli; Caryophanales; Paenibacillaceae.